Molecule: transfer RNA, 69 nt
Filed under: Urocitellus parryii (Arctic ground squirrel)
Lineage: Eukaryota; Metazoa; Chordata; Mammalia; Rodentia; Sciuridae
Also listed under: 2 other names
Description: Spermophilus parryii (Arctic ground squirrel) tRNA
Rfam family: tRNA
About the family: Transfer RNA (tRNA) molecules are approximately 80 nucleotides in length. Their secondary structure includes four short double-helical elements and three loops (D, anti-codon, and T loops). Further hydrogen bonds mediate the characteristic L-shaped molecular structure. tRNAs have two regions of fundamental functional importance: the anti-codon, which is responsible for specific mRNA codon recognition, and the 3' end, to which the tRNAs corresponding amino acid is attached (by aminoacyl-tRNA synthetases). tRNAs cope with the degeneracy of the genetic code in two manners: having more than one tRNA (with a specific anti-codon) for a particular amino acid; and 'wobble' base-pairing, i.e. permitting non-standard base-pairing at the 3rd anti-codon position.
Source: Rfam by way of RNAcentral
GGGAUUGUGGCUCAGUGAUAGAACGCUUGCCUGUCAUGCAGGAGGCACUGGGUUCGAUCCUCAGCACCA